UACGUAGGGUCCGAGCGUUGUCCGGAAUGACUGGGCGUAAAGAGCUCGUAGGUGGUUUGUCGCGUUGUUCGUGAAAACUCACAGCUUAACUGUGGGCGUGCGGGCGAUACGGGCAGACUUGAGUACUGCAGGGGAGACUGGAAUUCCUGGUGUAGCGGUGGAAUGCGCAGAUAUCAGGAGGAACACCGGUGGCGAAGGCGGGUCUCUGGGCAGUAACUGACGCUGAGGAGCGAAAGCGUGGGGAGCGAACAGG
This 253-nucleotide ribosomal RNA is filed under the name uncultured bacterium. Its description in RNAcentral is "partial 16S ribosomal RNA". It matches the Rfam family "Bacterial small subunit ribosomal RNA", at positions 524 to 776 of the family's 1533-position model. The record is from RNAcentral.